RNAcentral lists this small RNA (1672 nucleotides) under Pan troglodytes (chimpanzee). RNAcentral describes it as "retained intron". Lineage: Eukaryota; Metazoa; Chordata; Mammalia; Primates; Hominidae. The record is from RNAcentral.
AUGAGCCACCACACCUGGCCCCAUCCUCAUCUUUGGCACUUAAGAUUCUUCUUCCCUGAUGUACCUCAAAGGCUCUUUUUUCUCCAGCUCAUGGGCCUCCUGAGUGACCCAGAAUUAGGUCCAGCAGCAGCUGAUGGCUUCUCUCUGCUCAUGUCUGACUGCACUGAUGUGCUGACUCGUGCUGGCCAUGCUGAAGUGCGGAUCAUGUUCCGCCAGCGGUUCUUCACAGAUAAUGUGCCUGCUUUGGUCCAGGGCUUCCAUGCUGCUCCCCAAGGUGAGGAGUCUGAAAGAAGGUCCCCACAUAUACACAUCUCUCCUUUGCUUGGCCACAUUCCCUAAGAUAAUUUAGGGCCCGCUUGCUUCUUUAGAGCUAUAUUGUGGUCUGUGCCUAGAAGACUAAACUUCUAGAUUCUUGUCCCACUUCUUCCUUUGAUGGGCGUAUCUUGCUUAUUCUGAGCGUGAAGGGCUCUUUCACCCCUUUGUAGGCUGAUGUCUCAGCCUCACCACAGAUUGGAAUUGAUUUCUCAAGCUAUAUAUCUAAGUCCAAUUUCUCCCCUAAGCCUUUCCAUUUUUUACAGAUGUGAAGCCAAACUACUUGAAGGGUCUUUCUCAUGUACUUAACAGGCUGCCCAAGCCUGUACUCUUGCCAGAGCUGCCCACGGUAAGUCCCACAGGCAGAGCUUCUAAGCAAAGGACAAAGCUAUUCUUCCCCAGAUGGGGCUAGAAAGGGGAGGGAACAAGAACCAGGAUCUUCAUGAUGUGGCCAUCCCCUACCUUGCCCAUUGCCCCUUAGCUUCUUUCCUUGCUGCUGGAGGCCCUGUCCUGCCCUGACUGUGUGGUGCAGCUCUCCACCCUCAGCUGCCUUCAGCCUCUUCUACUGGAAGCACCCCAAGUCAUGAGUCUUCACGUGGACACCCUCGUCACCAAGUUUCUGAACCUCAGCUCUAGCCCUUCCAUGGUGCGUUGAGCCCCAGCAACUCUUAGGCACCAGCAUCUCUCCCUGGGCAUGCUCUCACCUCCUUGUGGUUGUGUUCCAGGCUGUCCGGAUCGCCGCACUGCAGUGCAUGCAUGCUCUCACUCGCCUGCCCACCCCUGUGCUGCUGCCGUACAAACCACAGGUGAUUCGGGCCUUAGCCAAACCCCUGGAUGACAAGAAGAGACUGGUGCGCAAGGAAGCAGUGUCAGCCAGAGGGGAGUGGUGAGUUUCUAGGUCGUGGGGAGAGAUGGGACCAAGAUGAGCCUCAUCACUAAUGCUGCCAACUUUCUUUUUGCCUACAGGUUUCUGUUGGGGAGCCCUGGCAGCUGAGCCCUCAGUCCUGGCCUAGACUGUUCUGACAAUCUAACCUGGGAUUACUAACUGUUGAGCCAUCUUCCCCAAAGCAGGGAAACCACUGGUCUCUGACUGCCUUUCCCACAGACACAGCACAAAUGCUAGGCCUCUGUUGCAUGGCUGUACAAGGAACAUAAGAGUCCAUAUUUCUAGUGGAUUUGUAAAAUAAGUGUGUGUGAGACACUUGUGUUUGAAGAAAGAUCUAGGGUCCUGGGUCUCUUGCAUUUAUAUGUCAGAAAAGGGGCGAUAUGCUGCUGAGGGGUGAGUGCAUAUGAGUGUGGCCCUGAGGACCAGGGCUGGCAGAUGUUGUCUACCUGCUGAAGAAUAAAGAUUUCUUUUGGU